Molecule: unclassified non-coding RNA, 237 nt
Filed under: plant metagenome
Description: partial contains small subunit ribosomal RNA, internal transcribed spacer 1, and 5.8S ribosomal RNA
Source: RNAcentral
UCUCCGUUGGUGAACCAACGGAGGGAUCAUUACCGAGUUUACAACUCCCAAACCCCAUGUGAACCUUACCAAACGUUGCUUCGGCGGGAUGCCCCGGGCGCGGGCCGCAAGGCCUCAGCCCCGGAACCAGGCGCCCGCCGGAGGCCCAAACCAAACUCUUGUUUUUGUAGAAUCUUCUGAGUGGCCUUUUAGGCAAAAAAUGAAUCAAAACUUUCAACAACGGAUCUCUUGGUUCUG